Molecule: ribosomal RNA, 253 nt
Filed under: uncultured bacterium
Lineage: Bacteria
Description: partial 16S ribosomal RNA
Rfam family: Bacterial small subunit ribosomal RNA
Source: RNAcentral
UACGUAGGGGGCGAGCGUUGUCCGGAUUUAUUGGGCGUAAAGGGCGCGUAGGCGGCCUGCUAAGUCGGAUGUGAAAUCCCUCGGCUCAACCGAGGAACUGCAUCCGAUACUGGCGGGCUUGAAUCCGGGAGAGGGAUGUGGAAUUCCAGGUGUAGCGGUGAAAUGCGUAGAUAUCUGGAGGAACACCGGUGGCGAAGGCGGCAUCCUGGACCGGCAUUGACGCUGAGGCGCGAAAGCUAGGGGAGCAAACGGG